GCGAUGAAGGACGUGCUAAUCUGCGAUAAGCGCCGGUAAGGUGAUAUGAACCGUUAUAACCGGCGAUUUCCGAAUGGGGAAACCCAGUGUGACUCGUCACACUAUCAUUAACUGAAUCCAUAGGUUAAUGAGGCGAACCGGGGGAACUGAAACAUCUAAGUACCCCGAGGAAAAGAAAUCAACCGAGAUUCCCCCAGUAGCGGCGAGCGAACGGGGAGGAGCCCAGAGCCUGAAUCAGCAUGUGUGUUAGUGGAAGCGUCUGGAAAGGCGCGCGAUACAGGGUGAC
This 286-nucleotide ribosomal RNA is filed under the name Salmonella enterica subsp. enterica serovar Brandenburg. RNAcentral describes it as "partial 23S ribosomal RNA". It matches the Rfam family "Bacterial large subunit ribosomal RNA", at positions 46 to 368 of the family's 2925-position model. Lineage: Bacteria; Pseudomonadati; Pseudomonadota; Gammaproteobacteria; Enterobacterales; Enterobacteriaceae. The record is from RNAcentral. RNAcentral also lists the same sequence under 1 other name.